CAUUAGAUGACUGAAAGAAAGUAAUGGUCUCUUAAACCAAUUUAUAGUAAUUUACGCCUACUUCUAAUG
This 69-nucleotide transfer RNA is filed under the name Cycloneda sanguinea. RNAcentral's name for it is "tRNA-Lys". The record is from RNAcentral. Lineage: Eukaryota; Metazoa; Arthropoda; Insecta; Coleoptera; Coccinellidae.